GAGGGUUCGAAGGCACGAUGGAGGCAGGACACGGGCAUCGGAGAGGACUCGGCCAGGAGGACCCUCAGCGUGACGCAGCAGGAUGGAAUGACCCACGUGGAGGGCUAGAGGCUAAGGUGCCAUAAGAUGCCUGGAAGUGUGAAGCCACACACUGAGGAGGAGACUGAAAAGG
Long non-coding RNA from Colius striatus (speckled mousebird), 172 nucleotides. RefSeq lists it as uncharacterized. Lineage: Eukaryota; Metazoa; Chordata; Aves; Coliiformes; Coliidae. The transcript has 3 exons. The record is from RefSeq and is a predicted model, not a curated record.